This 30-nucleotide non-coding RNA is filed under the name Rattus norvegicus (Norway rat). The record is from RNAcentral. Lineage: Eukaryota; Metazoa; Chordata; Mammalia; Rodentia; Muridae.
UUGAAGAAGAGAAAAUAAGUUGGAUAGGGU